CUGGGUGCUCCUCGGCAGUCUCAGCCAUGGUCACCACCGUGGGCUGCCCCUCGAUUUGCUCCUGGGUGGUCUGCGGCGCGGCGUCUUCGACGACAACCGCCAGCUCGGCCGUCUUCUGGCCAGCGACAUUGUCGGGAUCAACGUCAGAUGCCACACUAACAAAAAUACGACAUUUUACCAAUGUCAAAAGCCACAGUACCAACACAAAAAAAUAUAUAAAAAAUAAAAUAAUAAUAGGACGAAGCGUCAAAGCGGGAUUGUUCAACUUACAGAUCGGAGCGCCUGUGUGUCGUCGUAAAAACCC
This 304-nucleotide long non-coding RNA is filed under the name Sorghum bicolor (sorghum). Its description in RNAcentral is "long non-coding RNA (SBIC_LNC014354)". The record is from RNAcentral. Lineage: Eukaryota; Viridiplantae; Streptophyta; Magnoliopsida; Poales; Poaceae.